RNAcentral lists this ribosomal RNA (492 nucleotides) under uncultured bacterium. Its description in RNAcentral is "partial 16S ribosomal RNA". It matches the Rfam family "Bacterial small subunit ribosomal RNA", at positions 29 to 507 of the family's 1533-position model. The record is from RNAcentral.
AGUGAACGCUGGCGAUAGGCCUAACACAUGCAAGUCGAACGGCAGCACAGUAAGAGCUUGCUCUUACGGGUGGCGAGUGGCGGGCGGGUGAGGAAUACAUCGGAAUCUACUUUUUCGUGGGGGAUAACGUAGGGAAACUUACGCUAAUACCGCAUACGACCUACGGGUGAAAGCAGGGGAUCUUCGGACCUUGCGCGAUUGAAUGAGCCGAUGUCGGAUUAGCUAGUUGGCGGGGUAAAGGCCCACCAAGGCGACGAUCCGUAGCUGGUCUGAGAGGAUGAUCAGCCACACUGGAACUGAGACACGGUCCAGACUCCUACGGGGGGCAGCAGUGGGGAAUAUUGGACAAUGGGCGCAAGCCUGAUCCAGCCAUACCGCGUGGGUGAAGAAGGCCUUCGGGUUGUAAAGCCCUUUUGUUGGGAAAGAAAAGCAGCAGGUUAAUACCCCGCUGUUCUGACGGUACCCAAAGAAUAAGCACCGGCUAACUUCGUG